Molecule: ribosomal RNA, 468 nt
Filed under: uncultured bacterium
Lineage: Bacteria
Description: partial 16S ribosomal RNA
Rfam family: Bacterial small subunit ribosomal RNA
Source: RNAcentral
GACGAACGCUGGCGGCGUGCUUAAUACAUGCAAGUCGAACGGAAAGGCCCUGCUCUUGUUGGUCGCUCGAGUGGCGAACGGGUGAGUAACACGCGAGUAACCUGCCCCUGACUUUGGGAUAACUUCACGAAACUCGGGCUCAUAUCCGAUAUGAGCUCCUGCUGCAUGGUGGGGGUUGGUAAGUUUCGGCGGUUGGGGAUGGACUCGCGGCUUAUCAGCUUGUUAGUGGGGUAGUGGCUUACCAAGGCUGUGACGGGUAGCCGGCCUGAGAGGGUUACCGGCGUCAAUGGGACUGAGAGACGGAGCAGACGCCUACGGGACGCAGCGGGGGGGAGUAUGGCACAAUGAGCGGGAGCCAGAGACAGAGGCGCCGCGUGCGGGAUGACGGGCUUCGGGUGGAAAACAGAUUUGGCAUGUGACAAAGAGUGAGUGACGGUAAUGGGUAAAGAAGCAACGGCUAACUACGUG